GCCUUCGUGGUGUAGUGGACAGCACGCUCGACGCGCAACCGAGAGGUCCGUGGUUCGAUUCCCUGCAAAUGCG
Molecule: transfer RNA, 73 nt
Filed under: Stegodyphus mimosarum
Lineage: Eukaryota; Metazoa; Arthropoda; Arachnida; Araneae; Eresidae
Rfam family: tRNA
About the family: Transfer RNA (tRNA) molecules are approximately 80 nucleotides in length. Their secondary structure includes four short double-helical elements and three loops (D, anti-codon, and T loops).
Source: Rfam by way of RNAcentral